This 450-nucleotide ribosomal RNA is filed under the name uncultured bacterium. RNAcentral describes it as "bacterial SSU rRNA". It matches the Rfam family "Bacterial small subunit ribosomal RNA", at positions 328 to 793 of the family's 1533-position model. The record is from RNAcentral.
CUCUGUGACUCCUACGGGAGGCAGCAGUGGGGAAUAUUGCACAAUGGGCGCAAGCCUGAUGCAGCAACGCCGUGUGAGUGAAGAAGGUUUUCGGAUCGUAAAACUCUGUCCUAAGGGAAGAAACAAAUGACGGUACCUUAGGAGGAAGCCCCGGCUAACUACGUGCCAGCAGCCGCGGUAAUACGUAGGGGCAAGCGUUAUCCGGAAUCACUGGGCGUAAAGGGGUGCGUAGGCGGCUUAGCAAGCCAGGGGUGAAAGGCAUUGGCUCAACCAAUGUAAGCCUUUGGAACUGUUAAGCUUGAGUGCAGGAGAGGUAAGUGGAAUUCCUAGUGUAGAGGUGAAAUUCGUAGAUAUUAGGAGGAACACCAGUGGCGAAGGCGACUUACUGGACUGUAACUGACGCUGAUGCACGAAAGCGUGGGUAGCGAACAGGAUUAGAUACCCUGGUAG